GGUCCAAUGGUCUAGUGGCAUGAUUCUCGCUUAGGGUGCGAGAGGUCCCGGGUUCAAUUCCCGGUUGGGCCC
RNAcentral lists this transfer RNA (72 nucleotides) under Perkinsela sp. CCAP 1560/4. It matches the Rfam family "tRNA". From Rfam's summary of the family: Transfer RNA (tRNA) molecules are approximately 80 nucleotides in length. The record is from Rfam by way of RNAcentral. Lineage: Eukaryota; Euglenozoa; Kinetoplastea; Prokinetoplastida; Perkinselidae.